GCCGUGGUGGUGAAAUUGGUAGACACGCUGCGUUCAGGGCGCAGUUCUCGCAAGGGAAUGGGAGUUCGAGUCUCCCCCACGGCA
This 84-nucleotide transfer RNA is filed under the name bacterium. Its description in RNAcentral is "tRNA-Leu". It matches the Rfam family "tRNA". From Rfam's summary of the family: Transfer RNA (tRNA) molecules are approximately 80 nucleotides in length. Their secondary structure includes four short double-helical elements and three loops (D, anti-codon, and T loops). The record is from RNAcentral.